Molecule: ribosomal RNA, 518 nt
Filed under: uncultured bacterium
Lineage: Bacteria
Description: bacterial SSU rRNA
Rfam family: Bacterial small subunit ribosomal RNA
Source: RNAcentral
UAGUCCACGCCGUAAACGAUGAAUACUAGGUGUCGGGGGUACCACCUCCGGUGCCGCAGCUAACGCAUUAAGUAUUCCGCCUGGGGAGUACGGUCGCAAGAUUAAAACUCAAAGGAAUUGACGGGGACCCGCACAAGCAGCGGAGCAUGUGGUUUAAUUCGAAGCAACGCGAAGAACCUUACCUAGACUUGACAUCUUCUGCAUUACUCUUAAUCGAGGAAAUCCCUUCGGGGACAGAAUGACAGGUGGUGCAUGGUUGUCGUCAGCUCGUGUCGUGAGAUGUUGGGUUAAGUCCCGCAACGAGCGCAACCCUUAUUGUUAGUUGCUACCAUUAAGUUGAGCACUCUAACGAGACUGCCUGGGUUAACCAGGAGGAAGGUGGGACGACGUCAAAUCAUCAUGCCCCUUAUGUCUAGGGCUACACACGUGCUACAAUGGCCGAUACAGUAAGUUGCAAUACCGCGAGGUGGAGCUAAUCUCUAAAGUCGGUCCCAGUUCGGAUUGCAGGCUGAAACUCG